Molecule: ribosomal RNA, 526 nt
Filed under: Gordonia didemni
Lineage: Bacteria; Bacillati; Actinomycetota; Actinomycetes; Mycobacteriales; Gordoniaceae
Description: bacterial SSU rRNA
Rfam family: Bacterial small subunit ribosomal RNA
Source: RNAcentral
AGCCUGAUGCAGCGACGCCGCGUGAGGGAUGACGGCCUUCGGGUUGUAAACCUCUGCAACCGGGGACGAAGCGGAAGUGACGGUACCUGGAGAAGAAGCACCGGCCAACUACGUGCCAGCAGCCGCGGUAAUACGUAGGGUGCGAGCGUUGUCCGGAAUUACUGGGCGUAAAGAGCUCGUAGGCGGUUUGUCGCGUCGUCUGUGAAAUUCUGCAACUCAAUUGCAGGCGUGCAGGCGAUACGGGCAGACUUGAGUACUACAGGGGAGACUGGAAUUCCUGGUGUAGCGGUGAAAUGCGCAGAUAUCAGGAGGAACACCGGUGGCGAAGGCGGGUCUCUGGGUAGUAACUGACGCUGAGGAGCGAAAGCGUGGGUAGCGAACAGGAUUAUAUACCCUGGUAGUCCACGCCGUAAACGGUGGGUACUAGGUGUGGGUUCCUUUUCACGGGAUCCGUGCCGUAGCUAACGCAUUAAGUACCCCGCCUGGGGAGUACGGCCGCAAGGCUAAAACUCAAAGGAAUUGACGG